UACAGAGGGGGCAAGCGUUAUUCGGAAUUAUUGGGCGUAAAGGGCGCGUAGGCGGCUUGGCAAGUGGAUGGUGAAGUCCCUCGGCUUAACCGAGGAACUGCCGUCCAAACUGCUUCGCUUGAGACCGGGAGAGGUGAGUGGAAUUCCCAGUGUAGCGGUGAAAUGCGUAGAUAUUGGGAGGAACACCAGUGGCGAAGGCGGCUCACUGGACCGGUACUGACGCUGAUGCGCGAAAGCGUGGGGAGCAAACGGG
RNAcentral lists this ribosomal RNA (253 nucleotides) under uncultured bacterium. RNAcentral describes it as "partial 16S ribosomal RNA". It matches the Rfam family "Bacterial small subunit ribosomal RNA", at positions 524 to 776 of the family's 1533-position model. The record is from RNAcentral.